RNAcentral lists this long non-coding RNA (1204 nucleotides) under Vulpes vulpes (red fox). RNAcentral describes it as "lncRNA (ENSVVUG00000015430.1)". The record is from RNAcentral. Lineage: Eukaryota; Metazoa; Chordata; Mammalia; Carnivora; Canidae.
UUUGGUUUUAUUCUCUUUUUUUUCCCCCUUUACUGUCACUUUAGUUAGAUCUGGAGACAAAAUGUUGUAAAUACAUAUAUUUGAUUUGUCACAUUAAAGUUGAAAUGUACAUAAACAUCAGUUUUAGUGGUUCCAUCAUGUUUAUUAGUGGAUGCAUUAAUGUUCACAUAACCAUCAUUCAGUUGUUGGGUAGUCAAAUUAUUGCCUAUUUUUUUUUUUACCACUGUUAGAAACAACACACUAAUGAAUCGUUUUAUGCAUGACGUUCUUUUUAUCUUUGAGAUUACUGUUUUUAAGAUAUAUUUCUGGAAAUAUAAUUAGUAACUAAGUUCAGAGGUUUUCACAAUUCCUUUGCAAAAUAGUUUUAUUGGUUAACAGACCUACCAACAGAGCAUGGGAGUGUACAGACUCUCCAAGCUCAGGAGCAUGUGCCCUGCAAAUUGCUCUUCAUAUCUUAAAUCAAGGCCAUGUUGGAAUAGAGAGAGGAUUUUGUUUGUUUGUUUGUUUUUGUAUCUUUAGAUGCAAGACUUCUCUCCGUGGAUAGAAUCAAAAUGGAAUCCUGAAGAGGAACAGCAGGAAGAACUCCAUGAGCAGCAAGGAUGCCUUUAAGGGAGUGCUAUGAAAUCAACACUGUACAGAAAACAAAUGCUGUUCUGUAAGGAAGACUGCGCAAAAACUUUUUGCACAGUUAAUUGUGCUGGUUGUACCUGAUUUCUUCAUUUCCCAGUCAAGCUGAGAUGCUGGUUAGGAAUAUAAAUGCACUACUUGGAAAUCUAUUACUGAAUGUUGAAGGAUUGUCCAGAGGGGCCAAAAAGAAGACUGCACCACAAGUACCGGAAAGGCAAGGGAGGAGCUGGGCAGAGCAGCAUGAUGAUGUGUCUGAAAGCCAAAGAGAUUUACAUAUGUGGCAAUAUAUUCCACCUCUGCUUCCUGGGCCUACCAAGGGCUCUCUAACAACCUUUCACCCUGUGGCUGUUCUGUACUUUAUUAAAGGAAACAUACCCAUCAUUCCACUUCCCCUGGAUGUAUGCAGCUGUGUAACCGAUUCUUCAGCCUUCUUCCGUGGAGAUCCUUCAUAAGGCAACACCAGAGGUGAUGCACAGAAAUCACUGUGAUUUGUGUUUUAUUUGGCUGUUUGCACCCUGCCUUGUUCCACAAGGGAUUUGAAGCAACUUUCAAUAAAAAUCAUUAAGAUAAAUGAGCA